GUCCUAACAGAUCACAGAGCCAUGGGAUGGUUGGGCUGGGUUAGAAAGGUCCUAACAGGUCACAGAGCCAUGGGAUGGUUGGGAUGGGUUGGGUUGGAAAGGUCCUAACAGGUCACAGAGCCAUGGGAUGGUUGGGUUGGGUUGGAAAGGUCCUUGCAGAUUACAGACAUGGGAUGGUUGGGUUGGGUUGGAAGGGUCCUAACAGGUCACAGAGCCAUGGGAUGGUUGGGUUGGGUUGGGUUGGAAAGGUCCUAACAGGUCACAGAGCCAUGGGAUGGUUGGGUUGGAAAGGUCCUAACAGGUCACAGAGCCAUGGGGUGGUUGGGUUGGAAAGGUCCUUGCAGAUUACAGACAUGGGAUGGUUGGGUUGGGUUGGAAGGGUCCUAACAGGUCACAGAGCCAUGGGGUGAUUGGGUUGGAAAGGUCCUAA
Tympanuchus pallidicinctus (lesser prairie-chicken) is the source of this 430-nucleotide long non-coding RNA. RefSeq lists it as uncharacterized. The transcript is spliced from 3 exons. The record is from RefSeq and is a predicted model, not a curated record. Lineage: Eukaryota; Metazoa; Chordata; Aves; Galliformes; Phasianidae.